RNAcentral lists this ribosomal RNA (377 nucleotides) under uncultured bacterium. RNAcentral's name for it is "bacterial SSU rRNA". It matches the Rfam family "Bacterial small subunit ribosomal RNA", at positions 524 to 898 of the family's 1533-position model. The record is from RNAcentral.
UACGUAGGGUCCGAGCGUUGUCCGGAAUUACUGGGCGUAAAGAGCUCGUAGGUGGUUUGUCGCGUUGUUCGUGAAAACUCACAGCUUAACUGUGGGCGUGCGGGCGAUACGGGCAGACUAGAGUACUGCAGGGGAGACUGGAAUUCCUGGUGUAGCGGUGGAAUGCGCAGAUAUCAGGAGGAACACCGGUGGCGAAGGCGGGUCUCUGGGCAGUAACUGACGCUGAGGAGCGAAAGCGUGGGGAGCGAACAGGAUUAGAUACCCUGGUAGUCCACGCCGUAAACGGUGGGUACUAGGUGUGGGUUUCCUUCCUUGGGAUCCGUGCCGUAGCUAACGCAUUAAGUACCCCGCCUGGGGAGUACGGCCGCAAGGCUAAA